GCAUCAGUGGUUCAGUGGUAGAAUUCAUGCUUGCCAUGCAUGAGACCCGCGUUCGAUUCGCGGCUGAUGCA
RNAcentral lists this transfer RNA (71 nucleotides) under Exophiala dermatitidis NIH/UT8656. RNAcentral describes it as "tRNA-Gly (GCC) (tRNA-Gly-GCC-1-1, tRNA-Gly-GCC-1-2)". It matches the Rfam family "tRNA". From Rfam's summary of the family: Transfer RNA (tRNA) molecules are approximately 80 nucleotides in length. Their secondary structure includes four short double-helical elements and three loops (D, anti-codon, and T loops). Further hydrogen bonds mediate the characteristic L-shaped molecular structure. tRNAs have two regions of fundamental functional importance: the anti-codon, which is responsible for specific mRNA codon recognition, and the 3' end, to which the tRNAs corresponding amino acid is attached (by aminoacyl-tRNA synthetases). tRNAs cope with the degeneracy of the genetic code in two manners: having more than one tRNA (with a specific anti-codon) for a particular amino acid; and 'wobble' base-pairing, i.e. permitting non-standard base-pairing at the 3rd anti-codon position. Lineage: Eukaryota; Fungi; Ascomycota; Eurotiomycetes; Chaetothyriales; Herpotrichiellaceae. The record is from RNAcentral.